This is a long non-coding RNA of Canis lupus familiaris (dog), 2301 nucleotides long. RefSeq lists it as uncharacterized. Lineage: Eukaryota; Metazoa; Chordata; Mammalia; Carnivora; Canidae. The record is from RefSeq and is a predicted model, not a curated record. The transcript is spliced from 4 exons.
UCCCGUGCGCGUGCGCGUGCGCGUGCGCGGUGGGCGGCUUUGCCGCUGGUCUCUCCUAGUGUCGCCUGCGUCUCGGCGGUGCUCUCCGCCCUGAAACAGCUUUUCUGUCCGCCUGUCCUGGCCGUCAGGAGUGUGUGACUUCCACUGCGGCCCGCACGGUGCAGACCCCCUCAGCGCGAAGCUCCACCCGGCCGUGAGGGGCUGAGUGGCUGUGAGGAGAGGGCGGGUGCCUGUGGUGAUGCUGAAGACUUGGAUCGUGAUUCACUAGAGCUCAAAAUGGCGACACGGGAAAGAAGUCGGAGGUGACGAACGUACCUCAGAUGUGGUAGAGCAGAUGCUUUCACAGGCGUUGUUUCAAGUCACCCUCGCAAAACCCCGGGAGGCGGGCCUUUAAAUCCCCAUCCUAAAGACGGAAAAGACACCCUGACAAGAGGCUUGCCCAAUAUCACACAGCCGGUUGAUGGAAGAGGCGUGACUCGAACCCAAGUUCCCUGUUCUUUUUUUAAAACGAGUUUAGGGUUUAGGGUUUAUUUCUCUGAUGGGUCACUACUAUAGAGGAACCAUGUUAAUACGUAGGAAAAGCUUUUCUGCCUUCAAGAGUGGCCCCUGAAAAGAUGGAUUCAAAACUUUAAAAGUGGAGAGGGAAAGCAGUCAUUUUUGUCCUCAUUUUCAAACAUGUCCAUGGUGAAUAUUUAACUUAACAAAUAAGAGCAUUUGUAUAUCAAGCUAACAAACAUUGAGGCCUCCUCCACUUCUCUGCCUACUCUGUUGACCCGAUCAUCUGGACCACCCUUACUCUUGAGCAUCUACCAAUGUAAGUCCUUCGGAGGCCGAAUCACUAGAUUGCUGACCUGCUUCCCUAGUCAGAAAGUUCUUCAAAGGCAGUGACUCUUCGUAACCAUUUUUGUGACUUUGCCUCUAGCAGAGUCUAGCUCAAAAAAAGAAGAGAAUUUCAGCUUGUUCUCAAAGAAUACCAAAAUAGUCUAAGAAAGAAAAAAAAAGUCUUAAGCUCUCAUAAGCACAUAAUCAGAUCUUACCAUCUUUCAUGGGGCCUAUUGUUUGUAAUUAUCUUCAUAUGAAAAGGGUAAAAAAGUAAUGGUAGGAGGGACCAUAAAUGCAACAAAGGUUCCCGCAUUGGUCAUUCUAAAAUUGGCUGAUACAUCAAACAGCAAGAGUAGCAGUGUAAACUACUCUGAUGGCCACUGGAAAGAGUAACUGUCCCUACCUGAUCAUAUCCCAGGGAGCUUCAUUGUCCUGAUAAGUGCCCUUCUUGAAAGUGUGUUGGUUACAUUGCUUCUGCAAAGGUCAAAGAGAGAUAGGUUAUCCUUGGUCACCUUUCAGAUUUUCUACUUGUCAAAGUAAGAACUCUGUUCACUGUACGUGUGUCUCAUGCACUUCUAGGUGAGACUAUGGCAGGAGAUCACAUGCAGGGUAGAUCCAGGAACUCAUGUUGGCUUAAUUUGAAAAAAAUCUUUUCAGUUGUUAGGGUGCCUGAGUGGCUCAUUUGGUUGAGCAUCUGACUCUUGACUUCAGUUCAGGUCUUGAUCUAGGGUUGUGUGAGUUCAAGCCCUCCACUGGGUUCUGCGCUGGGUGUGGAGCCUACAAAAACAAACAAACAAAAACUUUUGAAUGCAAUUAUUUAUCGUAAAAUUCUAUUUAAGAAGUGACACAUCCAGGAGAAAAUUGUGAAAGGACAACAGCUUGCAUGCCAGCCUUGGAACAAGAAGCUGGAUAGCCUGCCAGGCAGCAGGUCUCUUUUGACACUCUUGGCUGGAACAGAUGAACUCUGUUUCUUCUGUCAGUGCUUUGCUAUCCUUUAGAGUCAAAGUCCUGGGAAAAAGAGUCUGGUUAGCUGAGCUUAGGGCAUGUGCCCUGCCCUUGGCAGUGGCAGAUCUGAGAGGAAGGAUUAGCAGAAGGAAUCUCCAGGGAUCUCUUUGGAUUCCCUAGUGUGAGGCAGGCACAUGAAUUUUACCAAGACUUUGUGCUAUGUGGGAAAAUAAUUACCCAGGUGAAAAUCAGGGUGCUUUUGGGAAGUGGGAAUGAAGGCCAAGCAUCCAAAAAUGCCAUUAUCUACCACUAAGAGCAAAAAAAGUGAUCAUGGGAUGCCUGAGUGGCUCAGUGGUUGAGCAUCUGACUUUGGCUCAGGGCGUGAUCCCAGGGUCCAGGAUCGAGUCCCACAUCAGGCUCCCUGGAAGGAGCCCACUUCUCCCUCUGCUGUGUCUCUGCCUCCCUCUCUGUGUCUCUCAUGAAUAAAUAAAUAAAUAAAGUAUUUUAAAAAGUGAUCAUUUUAAUGGCAUUAAA